RNAcentral lists this small nuclear RNA (23 nucleotides) under Arabidopsis thaliana (thale cress). RNAcentral describes it as "snRNA_14970". The record is from RNAcentral. Lineage: Eukaryota; Viridiplantae; Streptophyta; Magnoliopsida; Brassicales; Brassicaceae.
CUUUUUCCGUACCGCAAAACGCA